This 513-nucleotide ribosomal RNA is filed under the name uncultured bacterium. RNAcentral describes it as "partial 16S ribosomal RNA". It matches the Rfam family "Bacterial small subunit ribosomal RNA", at positions 28 to 523 of the family's 1533-position model. The record is from RNAcentral.
GACGAACGCUGGCGGCAUGCCUAAUACAUGCAAGUCGAGCGAACAGAUGAAGUGCUUGCACUUCUGACGUUAGCGGCGAACGGGUGAGUAACACGUAAGGAAUCUACCUAUAAGCGGGGGAUAACACUCGGAAACGGGUGCUAAUACCGCAUAAUAUCUUCUUCCGCAUGGAAGAAGAUUGAAAGACGGCUCUGCUGUCACUUAUAGAUGACCUUGCGGUGCAUUAGUUAGUUGGUGGGGUAAUAGCCUACCAAGACGAUGAUGCAUAGCCGACCUGGGAGGGUGGUCGGCCACAUUGGGACUGAGACACGGCCCAAACUCCUACGGGAGGCAGCAGUAGGGAAUCUUCCGCAAUGGGCGAAAGCCUGACGGAGCAAUGCCGCGUGAGUGAAGAAGGCCUUCGGGUCGUAAAACUCUGUUAUAAGAGAAGAACAAAUUGUAGAGUAACUGCUACAGUCUUGACGGUAUCUUAUCAGAAAGCCACGGCUAACUACGUGCCAGCCGCCGCGGUAA